RNAcentral lists this unclassified non-coding RNA (240 nucleotides) under soil metagenome. RNAcentral's name for it is "partial contains 5.8S ribosomal RNA, internal transcribed spacer 2, and large subunit ribosomal RNA". The record is from RNAcentral.
AACCAUUCUCACCUGCGGCUAGACCUGCGGAAGGAUCAUUAUUGAGUGUAAUCUACCCCUUAAAAAAGGGUUGAUACCUCCCGUCCUUUGCAGGCCCCCCCUUUUUUAUUGAGGGGGGGGGCUUUUUUUAAGACUUUCUGCUUCGGCGGGGUUACUCCCGCCGGAACACCCUCAAAAAACUCUUUAAAAAAAUAGUUCAGUCCGAGAACUUUUUGAAAAUAUAAAAAAAACUUUCAGCAA